GACGUAGGGGGCCAGCGUUGCUCGGAAUUACUGGGCGUAAAGGGUUCGUAGGCGGUGUGGCAAGUCGGGAGUGAAAUCUCCAGGCUCAACUUGGAGGCUGCUUCCGAAACUGCCGCGCUAGAGUGCGAGAGAGGCCAGUGGAAUUGCAGGUGUAGCGGUGAAAAUGCGUAGAUAUCUGCAGGAACACCCGUGGCGAAGGCGGCUGGCUGGAUCGCAACUGACGCUGAGGAACGAAAGCUAGGGGAGCAAACAGG
RNAcentral lists this ribosomal RNA (254 nucleotides) under uncultured bacterium. RNAcentral describes it as "partial 16S ribosomal RNA". It matches the Rfam family "Bacterial small subunit ribosomal RNA", at positions 524 to 776 of the family's 1533-position model. The record is from RNAcentral.